Molecule: long non-coding RNA, 1215 nt
Filed under: Oryctolagus cuniculus (rabbit)
Lineage: Eukaryota; Metazoa; Chordata; Mammalia; Lagomorpha; Leporidae
Description: lncRNA (ENSOCUG00000032323.1)
Source: RNAcentral
AAUCCAAAGGGGGAGUAUGAACACAAGAUUCUAUCUCAGUAAUACCUAGGGUAGAAGAAAAUAUCUAGGGCACAGCUUUGUGGCACAGAGGGUUAAGAUGCCACAUGAGCGCCAGUUCCUGUCUCAGAUGCUCUAUUUCCAGCCCAGCUCCCUGCUAAUGUGCCUGUGAAAGUAGCAAAAGAUGGCCUAAGUGCUUGGGCCCCUGCACCCAUGUGGGACAUCUCAAAGAAGCUCCUGACUCUUGGUUUUGACCUUGCCUAUAUGUGACUGUUGUGGCCAUCUGGGAAGUAAUCAGUAGAAGGAAAAUCUCUCUCUCUCUGACUCUGCUUUCAAGCAAAUUUGCUUUUUAAAAAACCUUUUAAAAAUUUUAAGUACUAGGUAUUCACAUUCCUGGAUCCAUUUAAUAGAUGAGAAACAGGGGUAAAAAUUGAUUCUCUUAAGAGACAAAGUUGGCUUUGAAAACAGGUAGCCUGAAUGAUGGCCCCGUACUUCCAACCUCUGCUCUGUGACCCCACUUAGUUUCCAAACUCGCAGGACAAGCCCUCUAACACACUUCCUGUCUCUACAGGCUGAGUGCUCAAUGGAGUCUCAGCCAUUUCGGUCCUGGGCAGUAUCCGGGUGCUGUCACCCCAGGCCUAGCUUCAUCGGCUCCGUUAGAGAGGCGCUUCCAACUCCGGGCUCCACGUGAGAAUUCGACCACAAACAGCAACAGGCAGGCUCCGCUUGCCUCCUCUUCACACAGGCAGGUUGAAACCGCCCCUUCUUCUGAGAGACAAGAAGAAUUUGGCAUUAUGUUACCCAUCAUCUGCUGCUCAUUUCUCACCUCAGAGCACGGUCUUCACAAUAUCUCAUGAUACUUCUCAAAAUAAGUGUUUCAAUCUCUUGGACACUCUAUUUGCUGAUUUAUGCAAACAUCAAGUGACCAAGUUACAAGGAUUGAACUUCAGGGUUACCUAAUGUAUCAAGUUAUGGAAAAUUAUGUGAAAGAACUCUGCAGCUUUAGUUCUGCCAGUUAUGUGAAGCACGAGCUCAUUUGCUGUGGCAAUGGCCGGGUUAUCUUUCUUUGUACAACGGAGGAGGCUGCAGCUCAACACAAGAGGAAACAGCUGAUUCUGGAGCCAUGGCCAAAACCAUCAAGUGCUCAGGGGAAACCUGUGGUCUAGUCACAAUCACAGUUUUAAAAUAAAUUCUUCCUAGAAUGUUUUGCUUAAAACA